Agrilus planipennis (emerald ash borer) is the source of this 72-nucleotide non-coding RNA. Lineage: Eukaryota; Metazoa; Arthropoda; Insecta; Coleoptera; Buprestidae. The record is from Rfam.
UCUCUCGUAGCUUAGUGGUCAGAGCAUUGGUGCGUAAAGCAAAGGUCCCGGAUUCUACUCCCGGCGGGGGUG